RNAcentral lists this ribosomal RNA (402 nucleotides) under uncultured Devosia sp. RNAcentral's name for it is "bacterial SSU rRNA". It matches the Rfam family "Bacterial small subunit ribosomal RNA", at positions 355 to 774 of the family's 1533-position model. Lineage: Bacteria; Pseudomonadati; Pseudomonadota; Alphaproteobacteria; Hyphomicrobiales; Devosiaceae. The record is from RNAcentral.
UGGGGAAUAUUGGACAAUGGGCGAAAGCCUGAUCCAGCAAUGCCGCGUGAGUGAUGAAGGCCUUAGGGUUGUAAAGCUCUUUUACCAGGGAUGAUAAUGACGGUACCUACAGAAGAAGCCCCGGCUAACUUCGUGCCAGCAGCCGCGGUAAUACGAAGGGGGCUAGCGUUGUUCGGAUUUACUGGGCGUAAAGCGCACGUAGGCGGAUUGGUCAGUUAGGGGUGAAAUCCUGGAGCUCAACUCCAGAACUGCCUUUAAUACUGCCAGUCUAGAGUCCGGAAGAGGUGAGUGGAACUCCUAGUGUAGAGGUGGAAUUCGUAGAUAUUAGGAAGAACACCAGUGGCGAAGGCGGCUCACUGGUCCGGUACUGACGCUGAGGUGCGAAAGCGUGGGGAGCAAACA